AUAUUGCACAAUGGGGGAAACCCUGAUGCAGCGACGCCGCGUGAGUGAAGAAGUAUUUCGGUAUGUAAAGCUCUAUCAGCAGGGACGAUAAUGACGGUACCUGACUAAGAAGCCCCGGCUAACUACGUGCCAGCAGCCGCGGUAAUACGUAGGGGGCAAGCGUUAUCCGGAUUUACUGGGUGUAAAGGGAGCGUAGACGGUGAUGUAAGUCAGAUGUGAAAGCCCAGGGCUCAACCCUGGGACUGCAUUUGAAACUAUCGAACUAGAGUGUAGGAGAGGUAAGUGGAAUUCCUAGUGUAGCGGUGAAAUGCGUAGAUAUUAGGAGGAACACCAGUGGCGAAGGCGGCUUACUGGACUAUAACUGACACUGAGGCUCGAAAGCGUGGGGAGCAAACAGG
Molecule: ribosomal RNA, 398 nt
Filed under: uncultured bacterium
Lineage: Bacteria
Description: partial 16S ribosomal RNA
Rfam family: Bacterial small subunit ribosomal RNA
Source: RNAcentral